Molecule: ribosomal RNA, 348 nt
Filed under: Galeommatoidea sp. MN20031
Lineage: Eukaryota; Metazoa; Mollusca; Bivalvia; Galeommatida
Description: partial 16S ribosomal RNA
Rfam family: Bacterial large subunit ribosomal RNA
Source: RNAcentral
CCCGGUGAAUUUUUAACGGCCGCAGUUAGUAGCUGUGCUAAGGUAGCGUAGUAAGUUGUCCUUUAAAUGGGGAAAGGAAUGAAUGGUUUGACGUAAGAAAUUCUGUCUCUUGAGGAAGUAAUGAAAUUUCCUUUCUAGUGCAAAGGCUAGAAUAAAAUUAAAAGACGAGAAGACCCUUUCGAGCUUGAUUAAAUAAUAUAUUCUCAUAUUAGGAAAAUUUGGUUGGGGCAACUAAGGAGCAAAAGUAGACUCCUUGAAGUAAUAGGGAUCCAAAAAUUUUGAAACAGAGAAAAAGCUACCGUAGGGAUAACAGCGUUAUCUUUCCUGAGAGAACAAAUUGAAGGGAAG